RNAcentral lists this ribosomal RNA (499 nucleotides) under uncultured Glomeromycotina. RNAcentral describes it as "partial small subunit ribosomal RNA". It matches the Rfam family "Eukaryotic small subunit ribosomal RNA", at positions 591 to 1092 of the family's 1831-position model. Lineage: Eukaryota; Fungi; Glomeromycota. The record is from RNAcentral.
CCAAUAGCGUAUAUUAAAGUUGUUGCAGUUAAAAAGCUCGUAGUUGAAUUUCGGGAUCAAUAUGUCGGUCGUGCUUAGGUACGUACUGGCAUCAUUGGUUUCUCCUUUCUGAUGAACCAUGAUGCCAUUAAUUUGGUGUUAUGGGGAAUCAGGACUGUUACCUUGAAAAAAUUAGAGUGUUUAAAGCAGGCUCACGCUUGAAUACAUUAGCAUGGAAUAAUGAAAUAGGACGUUUGAUUCUAUUUUGUUGGUUUCUAGGAUCGACGUAAUGAUUAAUAGGGAUAGUUGGGGGCAUUAGUAUUCAAUUGUCAGAGGUGAAAUUCUUGGAUUUAUUGAAGACUAACUACUGCGAAAGCAUUUGCCAAGGAUGUUUUCAUUAAUCAAGAACGAAAGUUAGGGGAUCGAAGACGAUCAGAUACCGUCGUAGUCUUAACCAUAAACUAUGCCGACUAGGGAUCGGAUGAUGUUAAUUUUUUAAUGACUCAUUCGGCGCCUUACG